GAUGAACGCUGGCGGCGUGCCUAAUACAUGCAAGUCGAGCGAACAGACGAGGAGCUUGCUCCUCUGACGUUAGCGGCGGACGGGUGAGUAACACGUGGAUAACCUACCUACAAGACUGGGAUAACUUCGGGAAACCGGAGCUAAUACCGGAUAAUAUAUUGAACCGCAUGGUUCAAUAGUGAAAGACGGUUUUGCUGUCACUUAUAGAUGGAUCCGCGCCGCAUUAGCUAGUUGGUAAGGUAACGGCUUACCAAGGCAACGAUGCGUAGCCGACCUGAGAGGGUGAUCGGCCACACUGGAACUGAGACACGGUCCAGACUCCUACGGGAGGCAGCAGUAGGGAAUCUUCCGCAAUGGGCGAAAGCUUGACGGAGCAACGCCGCGUGAGUGAUGAAGGUCUUCGGAUCGUAAAACUCUGUUAUUAGGGAAGAACAAAUGUGUAAGUAACUAUGCACGUCUUGACGGUACCUAAUCAGAAAACCACGGCUAACUACGU
Molecule: ribosomal RNA, 496 nt
Filed under: uncultured bacterium
Lineage: Bacteria
Description: partial 16S ribosomal RNA
Rfam family: Bacterial small subunit ribosomal RNA
Source: RNAcentral